Molecule: long non-coding RNA, 313 nt
Filed under: Macaca mulatta (Rhesus monkey)
Lineage: Eukaryota; Metazoa; Chordata; Mammalia; Primates; Cercopithecidae
Description: lncRNA (ENSMMUG00000055764.1)
Source: RNAcentral
AAUUCCAGACACCUGGGCUAGAAGCUCAUCUACAAGGUCUAUAAGCAUGUUUCCGUGAUUUACAACACAGAAGUGACACUUCCUUCCACACAGAAGUAUAGGUUAAAGAUUAUAACUCUGCAAAUCACUUACUCAAAUUUCUCAUUAUAGACCUCUGCAACUGGAUCCUGCUGUGUAAGUUCUUUUAACAGAGAUCUCAGUGAAGUGUAACAACCUUCUUGGCUGAUAACUUUCUUCAGAUGUAAACUUCAAAUGCAACUACCCUUAGAAUAAGCUGCCUUCACAAGUAGAGCUUCUUGACAUCUGCUUUGUG